GAACGCCCUGGAUUCAUACUAACUUUCCAGUCCUCAGACUUUAAAGAGUCUUCUUGAUUAAGCCUCCAGGAUCGUCAGACGUCUCUGUAAUAUCCCAAAAUUUACCCUUCAUUUUUCCUGGAAGCAUACGCUUUACACCUCAUGCAUGCAUUCAUUUUUAGGUCAUUUAAGAUUAGAUACAUUGCAUUUCAUCAUGUCAAUCAGAAUUAGAUCCAAGAAACUUUAUUUAAAAAAAAAACACAAA
RNAcentral lists this long non-coding RNA (244 nucleotides) under Lathyrus oleraceus (garden pea). RNAcentral's name for it is "Pisum sativum (pea) long non-coding RNA (PSAT_LNC021263)". The record is from RNAcentral. Lineage: Eukaryota; Viridiplantae; Streptophyta; Magnoliopsida; Fabales; Fabaceae.